Molecule: ribosomal RNA, 444 nt
Filed under: uncultured bacterium
Lineage: Bacteria
Description: partial 16S ribosomal RNA
Rfam family: Bacterial small subunit ribosomal RNA
Source: RNAcentral
CCUACGGGCGGCAGCAGUGGGGAAUAUUGGGCAAUGGAGGAAACUCUGACCCAGCAAUGCCGCGUGAAUGAAGAAGGUCUUCGGAUUGGAAAGUUCUUUAUUCAGGGGAGAAUAAAAUUACGCUACCUGAAGAAUACGCUCCGGCUAACUACGUGCCAGCCGCCGCGGUGAUACGUAGGGCGCAAGCGUUGUUCGGAAUUACUGGGCGUAAAGGGUUCGUAGGCGGUUAUACAAGUUAUAAGGGAAAUACUCAGGGCUUAACUCGGUUGCUGCUUCUAAAACUGUAUGACUUGAGUGCAGUAGAGGUAAGCGGAAUGCGUGGUGUAGCGGUGAAAUGCGUAGAUAUUAGGAGGAACACCAGUGGCGAAGGCGGCUAACUGGACCGCAACUGACGCUGAGGCACGAAAGUGUGGGGAGCAAACAGGAUUAGAUACCCUUGUAGUC